AACUCUCAGCCCAGCGGCGGUUUCCAGGACCUCAGACUUUUUGCCGAGGCGGCAGUCCCUAGACGAAGCGAAGGAGGCGGCGCCUGCCCCGCCCACAAGAGCUGCCGCGCGCGGGUGUUAUAGCUCCACCCCAUCUGCAAAGGAAGGGGGAGCGGAAAGAGCGGGAUCUAGCGUGGGAUAAAAGUGGGACUACUACAGUGUAACUGGGCAUGCGCCCCUCCUAGAAAUGAUGGGAAUGCAAAAGCCCUUGACUGCUCCAGGACUCGAGGGAUCCUCGGUGCCAGGAUGCUGGGUCAAGCGCUCCGCCGGGACAGAGGACUCAUACCAGGGAAAUGGAGCCCAGCCUCGUGAUAAACUACGACCCAAGCUGGGGGAGGAACCUAGUUUUCGAAAGGAAAAUAAUAUGCGCAAGCUUUAACUGAGCAGUGGGAUGGUCUUAAAUACCAAAGGAAUGACUUUAAAUCUUGCUGGAUGGGACUGC
Molecule: long non-coding RNA, 481 nt
Filed under: Homo sapiens (human)
Lineage: Eukaryota; Metazoa; Chordata; Mammalia; Primates; Hominidae
Description: non-protein coding lnc-RPGRIP1-1:3
Source: RNAcentral